UUUAGCACUUUUUCUGAAAAGAGACAAUUGGCAUCUUAUGCCACACACGCAAUGUUUGGCCAUUCCGAUUGAUUUCAUAAUCUGCACGUUAUUAGUGGAUAAAUAAACAACCGUUUCAGAACUCCAUGAUGUGCAGUAAUUUUUUAACAAAAAUAGGAUUACAAUGAUACAAAUAUCAGGAGGAACGUCAAUGAAUAUUUAAUAUCUUCUAGUCGAAAAAUCGGUUUAUCUAUCAAAAUUACGUAUGCUCUUUAGCAUGCUAAAAAUUUGAGAACCUAUAUAGAGAUUAAACAUCAUCGGUAAGCCCUCACUUCGUAGAAUCGCCCAGAACAUAAUACUGUAUAUUCUAAUCAUUAAGAUUAAGUAUUAUAAUAUCCAAUAGUGCCUACCAUAUUGAAUACUACGG
Cinara cedri is the source of this 406-nucleotide non-coding RNA. The record is from the annotation of a GenBank genome assembly. Lineage: Eukaryota; Metazoa; Arthropoda; Insecta; Hemiptera; Aphididae.